AGUGCUGCCAGCUCGCUGCUGGAUGGCAAAUUGUGCCAGGGUUCAGCUGUGAAACACAACAUGGAUGCACAUGACACCCAGGAGAAACCCAGCUGUGACAGCAGAACAGUGCUGGGGAGGUCAGCUUUACACCCUUAACUCUCAGACUGGAGACUGGAGUGAAGAGAAUGGAGCUGUGGAGUGGUGGCCAGGCUGUGUCAGGUGGGCCCUGCUCCUAGACAAGCCCUGUCCACCCUUAUUUACAUGCACAGGUGGACCCUCUGAAUCUCCUCUGGAGCUGCUGGAAAGUUGGAGAUAGGUAUACAUGGCUCUUGUCCCUGUCUAGCCAGCUCCAGGAUGUCAUGAAAUGUCAGCAGCACUUCAGCAGGGCAUGCAGUCAGGUCUGUGCUUUCAAAACACUGGCUGAAAUUCCCAGAAGAAGGUCAAGUGCCUC
Molecule: long non-coding RNA, 433 nt
Organism: Melospiza melodia melodia
Lineage: Eukaryota; Metazoa; Chordata; Aves; Passeriformes; Passerellidae
Exons: 3
Source: RefSeq, a predicted model, not a curated record